UCUAUUGAUCAUGACACUAAUCAUAAAAUGUGUUUAAUAAAAGGUUUCAUACUUCAGUGAUCAAAAGACUUUCGUUUCAUGAAGCUGUCACAAAUAUAAUCUGUCUACAUUUUUUACUGUCAAACUCUUUGUAUGUUUCAAACUUAUAAUGAUUUUCAAAAUUAACUCCGUUUUUAUUGUUUCAUACUUUGGUAGGAAAAUUCAAAUGAGGUUUGGUUGUGGAAUUUAAAUCUUCAGCCAGAAAUUAAAAAGUUGAUUAUAACUUUAGAAGUAGACAAUACAAGAAAUCACAUUACAACUUUGGGAAAUUAAUUGAUUUUGGUGAUUCUCCUGUGUACCUACAAUUUAGAUUGUUUAUUUUCUUGUAUUUUAUUUGUAUACAAUAAAAGAUUAUUCGAUACUAUUUUA
This is a long non-coding RNA of Bombyx mori (domestic silkworm), 408 nucleotides long. RefSeq lists it as uncharacterized. The record is from RefSeq and is a predicted model, not a curated record. The transcript is spliced from 2 exons. Lineage: Eukaryota; Metazoa; Arthropoda; Insecta; Lepidoptera; Bombycidae.